UUUUCUCUCUCUCUCCAAUUCUCUUCUCUCCCUCUCUCUUAAUUUCUCUCCCAAUCUUCAUCUAUUUUAGAAUCUGAUCAUACCACGCUGUAGCAGAGGAGUUAAGGAACAUUUCUACCCGAUCAGAUUUUCAAACAGAGUAAGUUCAUUUUUACUCUAAAUAUCCUGUUCUCUGUUUUUCCUUAGGAUUUAGUCAUCAAUCUUGGUGGGGUCAGUUGAGAAGUUUAAUCCUCUCAACUUAUUCUAUUAUAUACUGAAUUUUUGUUCUGUUUGGAUAAUUUGCAUUAGGCCUGUAAAUCUUGAAGCUUAUCCAAACGGUGGGGAAUAAAAUUCUAAAAGUUGCUUGGAAAGCAAGCAAUU
RNAcentral lists this long non-coding RNA (360 nucleotides) under Phaseolus vulgaris (common bean). RNAcentral's name for it is "long non-coding RNA (PVUL_LNC002423)". Lineage: Eukaryota; Viridiplantae; Streptophyta; Magnoliopsida; Fabales; Fabaceae. The record is from RNAcentral.